GCGUGAAGUAAAUCCCAUCUUCUCUAGCAUACCAGUAGUUCUUUUUACCAUGAUCAAAUGCGCCACUACCACCUUCAAAUGCCCUAAUCAUUACAGAAGGUCCACUUGCCUGGAGAAAUGUACAAUCAAUUUUAUUCUUAGGAAUAAAUUUAUCAUGAAAGCUAUAAUCAUCAGUUUCUCCUGGUUUUAGGAAAAAGGUGCCAAUCUGAUCACCAUUCCAUUUACAAAAGAUUUGGAGAUCGUUUCCUGGAUUAAGAGAGUUAUUUAAGUAUAUGUGGUUUUUCGCAAACAGUUUGGCGUUACCCAAUUCAAUAGACAAUGCGAUGAUAAACAAAAAGCACGAGAAACGAUUCAUCAUUUAGUUAAUCAAUGUUUUUUUUGUUAGGGAUGAUAUGUAUUUUUUUAAAUAAGAUAUGCCAAUUUAUACAACGAUGUCUACACACAUAUACACACACAUAUCAUAAAUGUAUUUUGUUAGAAUAAGGGUGAAUUGAUGGUGGUCAAAGUGACUUUUGGUUUGUUUGGUAUUCUACUUUGAACUUUUAAUUAUAUAUAUUUUGACUAUAUUGUUAAAAAUUAAUGCAAAAUCUCACUAUUUAAGAGAAGUACUUAUCUGGUGUUCAAUAAUCUCUGGUUUGAUUGUUUUCUUUUAUUCUUAUUUAUAUAUUAUCUACUAGAAAAAUUGGUCCAAUGAAUCAAUACUAUUAAAACAGAAGCACAAAAUUGGACCAACUUAGUUAUAAAAGAAAUAUUUUUUAAAAACUAUACAAUAUAAUUAAUAUGCCAAUUACAUUAUUCUAUAGUCUAAUACAUUUAUAUCUAUAACAAAAUCACCAUACAAUCCCACCUUAUCAUUUAUGGUAAGGGAUUAAAUGAAAUUAUUAUUAUUUAUGGUAAGUGAUUAAAUGAAUUUAUUAUUAACAAUAUCAUUUUUAAAAUAAACAUUUGUUAUGGUAAGACUUUAAUACACCCUAAUUUAUGAUGUAUGUAGUUAUCCUCUUAUAUAUAUAUAUAUAUAUAUAUAUUUUAUAUAUAUAUAUAUAUAUAUAUGGCGUGAAUCAUGAAUAAUAUUUCAAAUCAAAAAGUUAAGGUUAAGUACUAAUUGUAUUUCAGUUUUAAUAGUAUAGAUGUCUACAGAUAACAUUUUGAUUGUUUAUAUGUUGUAAUUUAUUGUUUCAAAUAUUCAAUUCUUUUAGUUGUUUUUUAUAUGAAUGUAUAUGUGCUUUGUAAAAAUUUAUAUAUAUAUAUAUAUAUAUAUAUAUCAAUUUAAUAAAUUUUGGAUUUUUGUUCGUUCUUGUUAAAAUAAACCAUGCGUGAAGUAAAUCCCAUCUUCUCUAGCAUACCAGUAGUUCUUUUUACCAUGAUCAAAUGCGCCACUACCACCUUCAAAUGCCCUAAUCAUUACAGAAGGUCCACUUGCCUGGAGAAAUGUACAAUCAAUUUUAUUCUUAGGAAUAAAUUUAUCAUGAAAGCUAUAAUCAUCAGUUUCUCCUGGUUUUAGGAAAAAGGUGCCAAUCUGAUCACCAUUCCAUUUACAAAAGAUUUGGAGGUCGUUUCCUGGAUUAAGAGAGUUAUUUAAGUAUAUGUGGUUUUUCGCAAACAGUUUGGCGUUACCCAAUUCAAUAGACAAUGCGAUGAUAAACAAAAAGCACGAGAAACGAUUCAUCAUUUAGUUAAUCAAUGUUUUUUUUGUUAGGGAUGAUAUGUAUUUUUUUAAAUAAGAU
RNAcentral lists this long non-coding RNA (1724 nucleotides) under Brassica napus (rape). Its description in RNAcentral is "long non-coding RNA (BNAP_LNC022618)". The record is from RNAcentral. Lineage: Eukaryota; Viridiplantae; Streptophyta; Magnoliopsida; Brassicales; Brassicaceae.